Molecule: ribosomal RNA, 495 nt
Filed under: uncultured bacterium
Lineage: Bacteria
Description: partial 16S ribosomal RNA
Rfam family: Bacterial small subunit ribosomal RNA
Source: RNAcentral
GACGAACGCUGGCGGCGUGCCUAAUACACGCAAGUAGAACGCUGAAGGAGGAGCUUGCUUCUCUGGAUGAGUUGCGAACGGGUGAGUAACGCGUAGGUAACCUGCCUGGUAGCGGGGGAUAACUAUUGGAAACGAUAGCUAAUACCGCAUAAGAGUAGAUGUUGCAUGACAUUUGCUUAAAAGGUGCAAUUGCAUCACUACCAGAUGGACCUGCGUUGUAUUAGCUAGUUGGUGGGGUAACGGCUCACCAAGGCGACGAUACAUAGCCGACCUGAGAGGGUGGUCGGCCACACUGGGACUGGGACACGGCCCCGACUCCUACGGGAGGCAGCAGUAGGGGAUCUUCGGCAAUGGACGGAAGUCUGACCGAGCAACGCCGCGGGAGUGAAGAAGGUUUUCGGGUCGUAAAGCUCUGUUGUAAGAGAAGAACGAGUGUGAGAGUGGAAAGUUCACACUGUGACGGUAUCUUACCAGAAAGGGACGGCUAACUACGUG